GAUGAACGCUAGCGGCAGGCUUAAUACAUGCAAGUUGAGGGGCAGCAUGAUAUACGCGAGUAUAUUGAUGGCGACCGGCGGACGGGUGAGUAAUAGGUAGGAGACCUACCUCAUACAGGGGGAUAGCAUAGAGAAAUCUGUGGUAAUACCCCAUGAGGUUAUAUGAAUAGAGGCAUAUAAUCAAAGCAUAAGCGAUUAUGCGGUAUGAGAGGGGCCUACUGACCAUUAGCUAGUUGGUGAGGUAAGGGCUCACCAAGGCGAAGAUGGUUAGGGGUUUUGAGAGAGAGACCCCCCACAUUGGAACUGAGAGACGGUCCAGACUCCUACGGGAGGCAGCAGUAGGGAAUAUUGGGCAAUGGGCGAAAGCCUGACCCAGCCAUGCCGCGUGAAGGAGACGGCCUUAUGGGUUGUAAACUUCUUUACUACGCGAAUAGAGGUUAGUACGAGAUACUAAUAGGAAGGUAGUGUAGUAAAAGCACCGGCUAACU
Molecule: ribosomal RNA, 488 nt
Filed under: uncultured bacterium
Lineage: Bacteria
Description: bacterial SSU rRNA
Rfam family: Bacterial small subunit ribosomal RNA
Source: RNAcentral